AGCACUUGAAUUUGUUUUUGUCUGUCUUUUAGACAAAGACACAAAAAAGUGCAAAAAAUAAAUUCUCUUUUGCAACCCAAAACUCAUUGUUUAGUAUGAGUUUUGAUACGUAUAAAAAAGGAAUAUU
Molecule: small nucleolar RNA, 127 nt
Filed under: Tupaia belangeri (northern tree shrew)
Lineage: Eukaryota; Metazoa; Chordata; Mammalia; Scandentia; Tupaiidae
Description: Small nucleolar RNA SNORA40 (ENSTBEG00000019380.1)
Rfam family: Small nucleolar RNA SNORA40
About the family: The snoRNA ACA 40 belongs to the H/ACA family of snoRNAs and guides the pseudouridylation of 28S rRNA subunit at position U4565. NB This family has a high threshold value to exclude a large number of closely related sequences that do not appear to have conserved H and ACA boxes, and may be pseudogenes.
Source: RNAcentral